Molecule: non-coding RNA, 1013 nt
Organism: Pelobates cultripes (western spadefoot toad)
Lineage: Eukaryota; Metazoa; Chordata; Amphibia; Anura; Pelobatidae
Source: the annotation of a GenBank genome assembly
GCUAGCAUUGGUUUGCACAGCACUGUGCUGUCGGUGUGCAUACCUUGCUGUAGGUGUGCCUGCCUGGAGUUUUGUUUAUAAUAACAGUGUGCAGGACCUGCCUUUCACUGGAGUAUAAUGGAAUUGUGCUGUUGUUCAUAGAAUGCAAGAAGUUGAUAGUGUUACUAUAACAGUGGUGGGUAUCAUUUAACAUUACAGUUGUUGUGGCCCGUGACUCUCAUACCCAGAGAACUGUAGGCUGUCCUCAUCAUGCUCAGGCAGCCUGAAUACUGGUCUGGAUUAUGCCUCUCACGGUGCAUAAGGAUGGCUGAGGAUCUUGGGAGCUAAGAUGCCAAAUACAGCUCUCACAAUAUACCAUUCAGUGGAUUUACAUGGAGCUACCCAUAAAAUAUGCAUUGUGUGUACAGCAGACAUGUAAUGACUUAUUUUGAAGAUUUGUAUUGUAACAAUUUAGCUUACUGCAAUGUAAAUUACAGGGACUUUGCAUUUUAGAUAAAACGUGUAAUUUACCCAGCAGAAUGUUUGUGAUGUUUAACAUUUGACACACAAUAGUUUUUAAAAACAAAAAUAUUUGCACUGAGAAGUUUAUACAGUUGGGAAGUGGAUGAGUUUCUUAUAAUGUUUUUUUUUAAGGAAGCCUUAUAUAAUUAGCUCUUUAAGUACCAUAUGUAAAGCAAAUGCAUGCAAGAGCGAGCUUACUCUACUGGCCCAUAAACUGAUUUUUGUGAUGGCAAAUCUAUAUUUUAGAGAUAGUAAUAUUUCCUGCCUUAGUUUCGUAUGGGUUUUUAAAAGUAUUUUUUUUUCUUUAUUGAGGCAGUAGGGCUUUUUGCCACAAGUAUAAUUUUGGAUAAGAUGCAGUAUUAAUAGCCUUUAUAUUUAUUUUUGCUCACAAUAGUAGCGGAUACCAACACACAGCACUAAGGGUCAUGACUUACAGAUUUCGAUUUACUUGGCAAACACUUAGCCAAGCAUAGCCAUGCAUUAUGUCUUAAAGAGUCCCACUCUCAUGUGGC